RNAcentral lists this ribosomal RNA (632 nucleotides) under uncultured bacterium. Its description in RNAcentral is "bacterial SSU rRNA". The stretch from base 1 to 532 matches the Rfam family "Bacterial small subunit ribosomal RNA", at positions 338 to 873 of the family's 1533-position model. The record is from RNAcentral.
CCUACGGGAGGCAGCAGUAAGGAAUAUUGGUCAAUGGACGCAAGUCUGAACCAGCCAUGCCGCGUGAAGGAUGAAUGCCCUCUGGGUUGUAAACUUCUUUUAUAGGGGACGAAAAAGGGUCUUUUCAGAUCAACUGACGGUACCCUAGGAAUAAGCACCGGCUAACUCCGUGCCAGCAGCCGCGGUAAUACGGAGGGUGCAAGCGUUAUCCGGAUUUACUGGGUUUAAAGGGUGCGUAGGUGGGUUGGUAAGUCAGCGGUGAAAUCUUCGAGCUUAACUCGGAAACUGCCAUUGAUACUACCAGCCUUGAAUAUCCUGGAGGUGAGCGGAAUAUGUCAUGUAGCGGUGAAAUGCUUAGAUAUGGCAUAGAACACCAAUUGCGAAGGCAGCUCACUACGGGAUUAUUGACACUGAGGCACGAAAGCGUGGGGAUCAAACAGGAUUAGAUACCCUGGUAGUCCACGCCCUAAACGAUGGAUACUCGACAUUUGCGAUAUACAGUAAGUGUCUGNGNGAAGANAUAGUAUCCACCGNGGAGACGUAAGUCGCGAGAGUAGUUAAACGUUAAAGUUAAGUUAAGUUAGUUACGGCGUUGAGACGUUGCCGACGGACGACGACGAGGGGAGGUUAGG